RNAcentral lists this small RNA (67 nucleotides) under Bacillus sp. SJZ110. RNAcentral's name for it is "Bacillaceae-1 RNA". It matches the Rfam family "Bacillaceae-1 RNA". The record is from RNAcentral. Lineage: Bacteria; Bacillati; Bacillota; Bacilli; Caryophanales; Bacillaceae.
UUUGAAUGAAAGGCGGCUAAUGACCCAAGCGUCCUGCCUGAACGCAGCCUUCCUCACAUCCUGUGAA